This 483-nucleotide ribosomal RNA is filed under the name uncultured bacterium. RNAcentral describes it as "partial 16S ribosomal RNA". It matches the Rfam family "Bacterial small subunit ribosomal RNA", at positions 30 to 506 of the family's 1533-position model. The record is from RNAcentral.
AUUGAACGCUGGCGGCAGGCCUAACACAUGCAAGUCGAGCGGAUGAAGGGAGCUUGCUCCUGGAUUCAGCGGCGGACGGGUGAGUAAUGCCUAGGAAUCUGCCUGGUAGUGGGGGAUAACGUCCGGAAACGGGCGCUAAUACCGCAUACGUCCUGAGGGAGAAAGUGGGGGAUCUUCGGACCUCACGCUAUCAGAUGAGCCUAGGUCGGAUUAGCUAGUUGGUGGGGUAAAGGCCUACCAAGGCGACGAUCCGUAACUGGUCUGAGAGGAUGAUCAGUCACACUGGAACUGAGACACGGUCCAGACUCCUACGGGAGGCAGCAGUGGGGAAUAUUGGAAAAUGGGCGAAAGCCUGAUCCAGCCAUGCCGCGUGUGUGAAGAAGGUCUUCGGAUUGUAAAGCACUUUAAGUUGGGAGGAAGGGCAGUAAGUUAAUACCUUGCUGUUUGGACGUUACCAACAGAAUAAGCACCGGCUAACUUCGU